RNAcentral lists this ribosomal RNA (811 nucleotides) under uncultured bacterium. RNAcentral's name for it is "bacterial SSU rRNA". It matches the Rfam family "Bacterial small subunit ribosomal RNA", at positions 77 to 903 of the family's 1533-position model. The record is from RNAcentral.
CCUUCGGGGUACUCGAGUGGCGAACGGGUGAGUAACACGUGGGUGAUCUGCCCUGCACUUUGGGAUAAGCCUGGGAAACUGGGUCUAAUACCGAAUAUGACCGCAUGCUUCAUGGUGUGUGGUGGAAAGCUUUUGCGGUGUGGGAUGGGCCCGCGGCCUAUCAGCUUGUUGGUGGGGUAAUGGCCUACCAAGGCGACGACGGGUAGCCGGCCUGAGAGGGUGACCGGCCACACUGGGACUGAGAUACGGCCCAGACUCCUACGGGAGGCAGCAGUGGGGAAUAUUGCACAAUGGGCGCAAGCCUGAUGCAGCGACGCCGCGUGAGGGAUGACGGCCUUCGGGUUGUAAACCUCUUUCGAUAGGGACGAAGCGCAAGUGACGGUACCUAUAGAAGAAGGACCGGCCAACUACGUGCCAGCAGCCGCGGUAAUACGUAGGGUCCGAGCGUUGUCCGGAAUUACUGGGCGUAAAGAGCUCGUAGGUGGUUUGUCGCGUUGUUCGUGAAAACUCACAGCUUAACUGUGGGCGUGCGGGCGAUACGGGCAGACUAGAGUACUGCAGGGGAGACUGGAAUUCCUGGUGUAGCGGUGGAAUGCGCAGAUAUCAGGAGGAACACCGGUGGCGAAGGCGGGUCUCUGGGCAGUAACUGACGCUGAGGAGCGAAAGCGUGGGGAGCGAACAGGAUUAGAUACCCUGGUAGUCCACGCCGUAAACGGUGGGUACUAGGUGUGGGUUCCUUCCUUGGGAUCCGUGCCGUAGCUAACGCAUUAAGUACCCCGCCUGGGGAGUACGGCCGCAAGGCUAAAACUCA